This 414-nucleotide ribosomal RNA is filed under the name Aquipseudomonas alcaligenes. Its description in RNAcentral is "bacterial SSU rRNA". It matches the Rfam family "Bacterial small subunit ribosomal RNA", at positions 146 to 553 of the family's 1533-position model. Lineage: Bacteria; Pseudomonadati; Pseudomonadota; Gammaproteobacteria; Pseudomonadales; Pseudomonadaceae. The record is from RNAcentral.
UCGUUUCGAAAGGAACGCUAAUCCGCNUACGUCCUACGGGAGAAAGCAGGGGACCUUCGGGCCUUGCGCUAUCAGAUGAUGCCUAGGUCGGAUUAGCUAGUAGGUGAUGGUAAUGGCUCACCUAGGCGACGAUCCGUAACUGGUCUGAUGAGGAUGAUCAGUCACACUGGAACUGAGACACGGUCCAGACUCCUACGGGAGGCAGCAGUGGGGAAUAUUGGACAAUGGGCGAAAGCCUGAUCCAGCCAUGCCGCGUGUGUGAAGAAGGUCUUCGGAUUGUAAAGCACUUUAAGUUGGGAGGAAGGGCAGUAAGUUAAUACCUUGCUGUUUUGACGUUACCAACAGAAUAAGCACCGGCUAACUUCGUGCCAGCAGCCGCGGUAAUACGAAGGGUGCAAGCGUUAAUCGGAAUUA